RNAcentral lists this ribosomal RNA (450 nucleotides) under Pseudomonas avellanae. RNAcentral's name for it is "bacterial LSU rRNA". It matches the Rfam family "Bacterial large subunit ribosomal RNA", at positions 2491 to 2925 of the family's 2925-position model. Lineage: Bacteria; Pseudomonadati; Pseudomonadota; Gammaproteobacteria; Pseudomonadales; Pseudomonadaceae. The record is from RNAcentral.
CCCAAGAGUUCAUAUCGACGGCGGUGUUUGGCACCUCGAUGUCGGCUCAUCACAUCCUGGGGCUGUAGUCGGUCCCAAGGGUAUUGGCUGUUCGCCAUUUAAAAGUGGUAACGCGAGCUGGGUUCAGAACGUCGUGAGACAGUUCGGUCCCUAUCUGCCAUGGGCGUUGGAAGUUUGAGAGGGGCUGCUCCUAGUACGAGAGGACCGGAGUGGACGAACCUCUGGUGUUCCGGUUGUCACGCCAGUGGCAUUGCCGGGUAGCUAUGUUCGGAAGCGAUAACCGCUGAAAGCAUCUAAGCGGGAAGCGCGCCUCAAGAUGAGACUUCCCGGGGCACAAGCCCCCUAAAGGAACCAUGUAGACUACGUGGUUGAUAGGUCAGGUGUGUAAGUACAGCAAUGUAUUGAGCUAACUGAUACUAAUGAUCCGUGCGGCUUGACCAUAUAACCUCA